GCAUAAAAAAAUAUGGUACAUUCGGGUCUAUAGUAUUUUUGCAAGACUUUUUUGGUGGAUUUGAGUAAAAGUGCAUUCAGGUCAUAUAGUACAUUCUCCUAUUAAAUAAAUAUGGUGCACUCCUAUGUUAUUAGCUAAAAUGUUUAGAUUAUAAUUCAGAGUCAUAUCAUAAAUAAAUUAAUAUUAAUAAAAUAAAUGGCUUUUUGGCAAGACGGAUUUGGAGGGAUGGGUUUUUGAAUCAACAUUAAUAAAAAAGUAAAAUCUAAUUAAUCCACCGUUUUAAUACGGAUUAAAUUUUUAAUUUAU
This 306-nucleotide small RNA is filed under the name Arabidopsis thaliana (thale cress). RNAcentral describes it as "ATSL136770". The record is from RNAcentral. Lineage: Eukaryota; Viridiplantae; Streptophyta; Magnoliopsida; Brassicales; Brassicaceae.